AGGGGAUCACCAGAUCCUGGGAUGUGCCCCCCCGGCGCCUUUGGCUCUGGGGUCUGCGCUGUUGGAAUCACACCCCCAGGACUGUGCAGCCCCCU
This 95-nucleotide microRNA precursor is filed under the name Canis lupus familiaris (dog). RNAcentral's name for it is "mir-8799 microRNA precursor family". It matches the Rfam family "mir-8799 microRNA precursor family". The record is from Rfam by way of RNAcentral. RNAcentral also lists the same sequence under 1 other name. Lineage: Eukaryota; Metazoa; Chordata; Mammalia; Carnivora; Canidae.